This 473-nucleotide ribosomal RNA is filed under the name Scardovia sp. oral taxon 195. RNAcentral's name for it is "bacterial SSU rRNA". It matches the Rfam family "Bacterial small subunit ribosomal RNA", at positions 28 to 499 of the family's 1533-position model. The record is from RNAcentral. Lineage: Bacteria; Bacillati; Actinomycetota; Actinomycetes; Bifidobacteriales; Bifidobacteriaceae.
GACGAACGCUGGCGGCGUGCUUAACACAUGCAAGUCGAACGGGAUCCACUGGGCUUUUGUUUGGUGGUGAGAGUGCGAACGGGUGAGUAAUGCGUGACUAACCUGCCGUAUGGUUGGGGAUAGCUCCUGGAAACGGGUGGUAAUACCCAAUGCUCCAGCUGGAUGCAUGUCUGGUUGGGAAAGCUUUUGUGCCAUAUGAUGGGGUCGCGUCCUAUCAGCUUGUUGGUGGGGUGAUGGCCUACCAAGGCGUCGACGGGUAGCCGGCCUAAGAGGGCGACCGGCCACAUUGGGACUGAGAUACGGCCCAGACUCCUACGGGAGGCAGCAGUGGGGAAUAUUGCACAAUGGGCGCAAGCCUGAUGCAGCGACGCCGCGUGCGGGAUGGAGGCCUUCGGGUUGUAAACCGCUUUUAUAGGGGGGCAAGCUAUGCCUGUGUGGUGUGGUGAGUGGACUUUAUGAAUAAGCACCGGCUA